This is an unclassified non-coding RNA of Loxodonta africana (African savanna elephant), 293 nucleotides long. Its record names the gene 7SK. It matches the Rfam family "7SK RNA". Rfam says of the family: 7SK was discovered as an abundant small nuclear RNA in the mid-70s but a possible function has only recently been suggested. NCBI's taxonomy places the organism in Eukaryota, Metazoa, Chordata, Mammalia, Proboscidea, Elephantidae. The record is from Ensembl.
GAAUUUGAGGGUGACCUGGCUCUGACAAGCCACCCCACUGAUCACCAGUGUUUUUUUCAACUGAUCUUACUGGCUUGCUGGGUGUCCUUUUUCUCCUCCACAGUUCCUUGUCUGUCCUUCCUGAAGCAGAAUUCUCAGUCAAAAAGGACACCUUUUUUAAAUGUUAAUGAAUUUUCUCUGUCAAUUUCUGUUUAGGUUAAGUAUCAACUUUCUAGUUUAUCUAAACCUCCUAAGAAUUGAAAAAUAGCACUAGAAAGUUAAUAAUAGGGAUAAGAAAAUUAUCUCCCUUUGAG